This 468-nucleotide ribosomal RNA is filed under the name uncultured bacterium. Its description in RNAcentral is "partial 16S ribosomal RNA". It matches the Rfam family "Bacterial small subunit ribosomal RNA", at positions 28 to 507 of the family's 1533-position model. The record is from RNAcentral.
GACGAACGCUGGCGGCGUGCUUAACACAUGCAAGUCGAACGGAAAGGCCUUGCUUUUGUGGGGUGCUCGAGUGGCGAACGGGUGAGUAACACGUGAGUAACCUGCCCUUGACUUUGGGAUAACUUCAGGAAACUGGGGCUAAUACCGGAUAGGAGCUCCUGCUGCAUGGUGGGGGUUGGAAAGUUUCGGCGGUUGGGUAUGGACUCGCGGCUUAUCAGCUUGUUGGUGGGGUAGUGGCUUACCAAGGCUUUGACGGGUAGCCGGCCUGAGAGGGUGACCGGCCACAUUGGGACUGAGAUACGGCCCAGACUCCUACGGGAGGCAGCAGUGGGGAAUAUUGCACAAUGGGCGGAAGCCUGAUGCAGCAACGCCGCGUGCGGGAUGACGGCCUUCGGGUUGUAAACCGCUUUCGCCUGUGACGAAGCGUGAGUGACGGUAAUGGGUAAAGAAGCACCGGCUAACUACGUG